GGCCAAGUUUUUAAGGGCGCACGGUGGAUGCCUUGGCACCAGGAACCGAUGAAGGACGUGGGAGGCCACGAUAGUCCCCGGGGAGCUGUCAACCAAGCUUUGAUCCGGGGGUUUCCGAAUGGGGAAACCCGGCAGUCGUCAUGGGCUGUCACCCGCUGCUGAACACAUAGGCAGUGUGGAGGGAACGAGGGGAAGUGAAACAUCUCAGUACCCUCAGGAAGAGAAAACAACCGUGAUUCCGGGAGUAGUGGCGAGCGAAACUGGAUGAGGCCAAACCGUAUGCGUGUGAUACCCGGCAGGGGUUGCGCAUGCGGGGUUGUGGGAUCUCUCUUUCACAGUCUGCCGGCUGUGAGGCGAGUCAGAAACCGUUGAUGUAGGCGAAGGACAUGCGAAAGGUCCGGCGUAGAGGGUAAGACCCCCGUAGCUGAAACAU
RNAcentral lists this ribosomal RNA (433 nucleotides) under Streptomyces durocortorensis. Its description in RNAcentral is "partial 23S ribosomal RNA". It matches the Rfam family "Bacterial large subunit ribosomal RNA", at positions 1 to 387 of the family's 2925-position model. Lineage: Bacteria; Bacillati; Actinomycetota; Actinomycetes; Kitasatosporales; Streptomycetaceae. The record is from RNAcentral.